UGAAUUUUAUUAAAAAUCGUAAGAACUAGAAGUAAAUUUUUUUGGAACAGGGCAGAAGAGCUCUCUUCUUUCUCUUUAGGCGAUUGAAGAGGCGAUUUAGGAGUGUUUUUUUGCUCCUCUCUCUCUUCUCUCUUCUCUCUUUCAUUUUUUUUAGAGAGAGAGGAAGCUUUUUCUCUCUUACUCUUGAUUAUUUGAUCAGAGUUUUUUUCCGUAUAUAUCGGAUUGUUAGUUUCCAACAUUGAUCGGAUAAUAAAGUUUCGGUUUUAUCCGGAUUAGUUAGUCUUUUCUCCUCUACGUUUGGUCCUCUAUCAGUGUUUUUGAGGCGGUGGCGAACAGAUUCGGUGGUGACAUGUCUGGAGUCAAAGACGAUCAGCGCUGCUUAAUUGGAGAUUUAAGUUUUUGGCAAAUUCUAAAUCGAGUCUAAUUGGAGGAGGAAUUAAGCGGUGAAAAUCUACAAUAUUUGAAGAGUUUGAGUUUACUAUCAACCUACUAUAGAAUCUCGAUUACCACGCAUGAUCUGGCAGCUUCCAUCAAGCUUCUUUCGGUGGAUUUAGGUUCAAAAUUCAUCCAGAAAAGUUUAUUAGAACCGGCAGAUUCGGAUAGCGGUAAUUUUCCUGUCACCUUCAGUUGUGGCACAUGUGUUGACACGUGGAACCCAUGCAAUUCUUCUUUAUCUUUUAUCUUUUGUAAUUGGGUUUUAUGUUGGGCUAAAUUGUAUAAUGGGGUGUUGGACCAAAUAUUGUAAUCACUUUACCCAUUUCGGGCUGAAAUGAAAUAAAAUGGACAA
This is a long non-coding RNA of Eutrema salsugineum, 787 nucleotides long. RefSeq lists it as uncharacterized. The transcript has 2 exons. NCBI's taxonomy places the organism in Eukaryota, Viridiplantae, Streptophyta, Magnoliopsida, Brassicales, Brassicaceae. The record is from RefSeq and is a predicted model, not a curated record.